Grammomys surdaster is the source of this 1272-nucleotide long non-coding RNA. RefSeq lists it as uncharacterized. The record is from RefSeq and is a predicted model, not a curated record. The transcript is spliced from 3 exons. Lineage: Eukaryota; Metazoa; Chordata; Mammalia; Rodentia; Muridae.
AGGGUACCCUUCACAUGUGUUGGCCUGGUGUCAGCUCAUUCCUCCCUUAUGGGUUGAGGAGCUAACCUAAUGGAAGGAAAGGGCUGAAAGGCCCACAUGUGAUUGUGGAGAGAAGUAGCUAGGGUUGGAGGGGAGCCCCCUGAGGCCACAGGGGUGCUUCAGGAUAAAGCUGUGGAAGUGUUUGAGGCUAGGAACUGGAGAAGAAAGGAGAGGGAGCUCUGAGGAGGGUAGGAAGUGGUCAUAGAGGUAAGAGGAUACUGGGGGCUGGAGAGAUGGAUAGGCUGCAGAUGGUCCCACUGUCCAUCUGUGAACAUCUCUUACAACUCUAUCUCUGGUAGUUGCAUCUGCCCUCCCCCACCCCAUCACACCCUGUGCAAUGGUGUCCAUUUGCUCAACAAUGCCCCAUCACCUUUCCUUGCAGCCUGUAAAUUCUGAAUCUCCUGUGUUCAAAACUGUGUCUCAGAAUUACCCAGUGCCUGGCCCAAGGGACCCCCUGGAGCCCAUGUUUUCUUCUUUGAAGGAACAUAAGGAUGGAACCCUUGCACAGUGGGCUCACUGAGACCUCCAGAGAGAAUCUCUCUAAAGAGGGAAGUAACAUGGUCGUGUUCAUCUAGAGCUCCCAGAACUGGAACCCAGUCUGCGUCCCUCAUCUAACCAGAGGCAGGAACAUGCUAACAAGAGCUGGGUGAAGGUCCCACGUCCACUGGAUUCCCAUGCCAACUAUGCGCCAGUCUAUACCUGGCAGGAUAUCUGCAAACAACUGGGGACUGGUGAAGGCUCCUAUUGCUCUCCUGAGGCAGCAGGGCAGGACCCAGAAGACUUGAAGCCAAAACCUCAGUUUCCACACUCACUUCUGGAACAUGGGACAAACCACUUAAUUUCUCUGAACUGCCACCAUCUGUAAAUGUAAUUUUGACAGGUCCCCUGUCAUUGAUGCUGACCAGAUAGAAAAGCAAGCCGGGAAGUGCCCUAUGGGUGGGGACACUGGGCAGAGGUUGAAAUGUCAUUCUCACCGGAUACUGGCGCAUCUUUCUGCACACCCUUUGUUUCUUACCUUUCCGUCAUGGCCACCUGCUCCAGCAUAGCAGAGCCUGUAUUAGCUUUCCAGUUUCCAGAGAUGGAGGUUCUCCUGGGUUAGAACAAACCACACUUCAAGGACAUUAUAGAGAUUUCUAUCACUAAUCUGCUUUCCUUCUUUGCUUUUAUGGUUAGGAGAUGUUGUUUCAAAUAUGUGGCCCAAAUUAUAUAUAGCAUGUACUUUUAUAUUUGUGU